AACGAACGCUGGCGGCAUGCCUAACACAUGCAAGUCGAACGAAACCUCCGGGUCUAGGUGCGCACGGGUGCGUACCGCGGGGGAACCUGCCCUUAGGUUCGGAAUAACUCACCGAAAGGGGUGCUAAUACCGGAGAAGCUCUUCGCACCAAAGAUUUAUCGCCGUUGGAUGGGCGCGCGUUGGAUUAGCUAGUUGGUAGGGUAAAAGCAUACCAAGGCGACGAUCCAUAGCUGGUCGGAGAGGAUGCUCAGCUAGGCUGGGAAUGCGACACGGCCCAGAAUGCUACGCGAGGGAGCAGAGGGGAACAUUGGACGCGGGGGGCAAGUGUGAUCACGCAGCGUGGGGGAAGUGAUGCAGGGCGUAGGGUUGCAAAGCCGUUUGACCCGGGAUGAUAAUGACAGUAACGGGAGAAUAAGCACCGGCUAACUACGUG
This 433-nucleotide ribosomal RNA is filed under the name uncultured bacterium. Its description in RNAcentral is "partial 16S ribosomal RNA". It matches the Rfam family "Bacterial small subunit ribosomal RNA", at positions 29 to 507 of the family's 1533-position model. The record is from RNAcentral.